Molecule: ribosomal RNA, 1998 nt
Filed under: Roseomonas mucosa
Lineage: Bacteria; Pseudomonadati; Pseudomonadota; Alphaproteobacteria; Acetobacterales; Roseomonadaceae
Description: partial 23S ribosomal RNA
Rfam family: Bacterial large subunit ribosomal RNA
Source: RNAcentral
GAUAGAGUGACAGAAGGGCGUUCGGUGGAUGCCUUGGCGCCAAGAGGCGAUGAAGGACGUGGCACGCUGCGAAAAGCCGCGGGGAGAUGCGAGCGAUCGUUGAUCCGCGGAUGUCCGAAUGGGGAAACCCCUCCCGUAUGGGAGAUCCUGCACUGAAUUCAUAGGUGCUGGAGGCAAACCCGGGGAACUGAAACAUCUCAGUACCCGGAGGAAAAGACAUCAACAGAGAUUCCGCGAGUAGUGGCGAGCGAAAGCGGAGCAGGCCAGUGAUUGUGCAAGAAGAAGCCGAACGGUCUCGAAAGGCCGGCCAGAGCGGGUGAUAGCCCCGUAGGCGUAGUGUCUUGCAGGAUCCUCGAGUAGGGCGGGGCACGUGAAACCCUGUCUGAACGUGGGGGGACCACCCUCCAAGCCUAAAUACUCCUUGGCGACCGAUAGUGCACAAGUACCGUGAGGGAAAGGUGAAAAGCACCCCGACGAGGGGAGUGAAAGAGACCUGAAACCGAGCGCCUACAAGCAGUCGGAGCACCCCAAUGUUCAAUCAUGGGAGGUGUGACGGCGUACCUUUUGUAUAAUGGGUCCGCGAGUUUCUGUUGGCAGCAAGCUUAAGCCGAGAGGUGUAGGCGCAGCGAAAGCGAGUCUGAUAAGGGCGCUUGAGUUGCCGGCAGAAGACCCGAAACCGAGUGAUCUAGCCAUGGCCAGGCUGAAGGUGGGGUAACACCCACUGGAGGGCCGAACCCACGCCUGUUGAAAAAGUCGGGGAUGAGCUGUGGCUAGGGGUGAAAGGCCAAUCAAACUCGGAAAUAGCUGGUUCUCCGCGAAAUCUAUUGAGGUAGAUCGUCGUCCGAUUACCUUCGGAGGUAGAGCACCGGAAGGGCUAGGGGGGCCCAAAGCCCUACCAAACCCUACCGAACUCCGAAUGCCGAAGAGUACAGGACGGCAGACAGACAGUGGGUGCUAAGGUCCAUUGUCGAGAGGGAAACAGCCCAGACCACCAGCUAAGGCCCCCAAAUCGUGGCUAAGUGGGAAAGCAUGUGAGACGGCCAAAACAACCAGGAGGUUGGCUUAGAAGCAGCCAUCCUUUAAAGAAAGCGUAAUAGCUCACUGGUCUAAUAGCUGUCUUGCGGCGAAAAUGUAACGGGGCUCAAGCCACGUGCCGAAGCUGUGGAUGCAUGCGCAAGCAUGCGUGGUAGCGGAGCGUUCCGUAGGCCUGCGAAGGCAGACCCGUGAGGGCUGCUGGAGGUAUCGGAAGUGCGAAUGCGGACAUGAGUAGCGAUAAACAGGGUGAGAACCCCUGUCGCCGAAAGUCCAAGGGUUCCUGCGCAAGGUCAAUCCGCGCAGGGUGAGCCGGCCCCUAAGGCGAGGGCGAAAGCCGUAGUCGAUGGGAACCAGGUGAAUAUUCCUGGGCCUGACAGACGUGACGGCUGCAAAGCGUUGUUGCCCCUUAUCGGAUUGGGGCGGCAGCCAGAGCAGCCCAGGAAACAGCGCUGUCGAUAAAGACCGUACCCGAAACCGACACAGGUGGACUGGUUGAGAAUACCGAGGCGCUUGAGAGAACUAUGCUGAAGGAACUAGGCAAAUUACUCGCGUAACUUCGGGAUAAGCGAGACCCCUUCUUGCGCAAGCAAGGUGGGGUGGCACAGACCAGGGGGUAGCGACUGUUUAGUAAAAACACAGGGCUCUGCGAAAUCGAGAGAUGACGUAUAGGGUCUGACACCUGCCCGGUGCCGGAAGGUCAAGGGGAGAUGUGCAAGCAUCGAACCGAAGCCCCGGUAAACGGCGGCCGUAACUAUAACGGUCCUAAGGUAGCGAAAUUCCUUGUCGGGUAAGUUCCGACCUGCACGAAUGGUGUAACGACUUCCCCACUGUCUCCAGCAUAGACUCAGCGAAAUUGAAUUCCCCGUGAAGAUGCGGGGUACCCGUGGUCAGACGGAAAGACCCUAUGAACCUUUACUGCAGCUUCGCAGUGGUGCCAGGAAGGAACUGUGUAGGAUAGGUGGG